AUAGCUCGUAUCUCUUGGGGCAGUGAUAAGGGCCAUUAAAAGCUGAGGUCCCUUUGUUUGCUUGGUUUCCCUCAUUAAAAGCUUCCUCUGCUAGGGUGUGAUGGGUUAACUUUUGUUCUAUGAGGGGCUAGGAGGGGAUUGAAGGAUUAUAGGGAAACUUUUGUGAGUUUUAGGUGGAUGAAAUGGUUGCUUUUAGGAACUUUUGCAUGUAUUUAUUAUUAUUUAUUUAAUUAAUUGUUUUUCAACACCACAGUGAGGAGGAGAAUGGUAUCACCCAGUACUUAUCAGAAAGCAGAAAAGUGGUGCACCUGGAACAUAACACAAAGUAAUGAGCCUUUGGGAGUGAUGGGGAUGAGUGGUCCAAGGAAGAGUCUUCAGGCUCAAGGCUCCCUUGUCCAUGGCCCAGAACUUGACACCUUGGACCUCUAUACUGAUACCUCUAUGCUGGUUUCUCUAUGUAAAUAUGUGAAAAUGACCAACAGAGUUUUGACCAUCCACGGCGUUGUGUUGCAAAUAGUGAACAAGCACCUUGCUGUUUAGUUUGAAUAGCACCAUCAUCUCAAUUCUGAAACAGCACAAAAGGUUUCUGUCCUGUAUUUAUAAAUAUGGGGAGUUCUGGAUAACAGUUUAGUGGUUCCAACUGUCAGAGAAGGAAUUAUGCAGUGAUUUGUGGUGGCUCUCUGGUGAUAUAAUGAGAUAAAGCUACAGUAUAUCUCUUGGUCUCUUUCUUGCUCCUGAUUACAAACACUGGGAGUUAGCACACAUCCUAUCAGCUGACAGCUGCACAUUUAAAAUAUAGCAGUGAAGAUUUAUCUUGAAUCUGAUUGGUUCCUUCCAAACCUUUUUUUAAAAUUGUGUUUGUUUAUUUUCAGGUUACAAUAAAAC
Molecule: long non-coding RNA, 885 nt
Organism: Rhineura floridana
Lineage: Eukaryota; Metazoa; Chordata; Lepidosauria; Squamata; Rhineuridae
Exons: 3
Source: RefSeq, a predicted model, not a curated record